RNAcentral lists this ribosomal RNA (349 nucleotides) under Galeommatoidea sp. MN13196. RNAcentral's name for it is "partial 16S ribosomal RNA". It matches the Rfam family "Archaeal large subunit ribosomal RNA", at positions 1954 to 2584 of the family's 2987-position model. Lineage: Eukaryota; Metazoa; Mollusca; Bivalvia; Galeommatida. The record is from RNAcentral.
CCCGGUGAUAUUUUAACGGCCGCAGUUAGGAGCUGUGCUAAGGUAGCGUAGUAAGUUGUCCUUUAAAUGGGGAAAGGAAUGAAUGGUUUGACGUGAGAAGAUCUGUCUCUGGAAAAAUUAAAAAAAUUUUCUUCUUGGUGAAAAGCCCAAGAUGGUCAUAAAAGACGAGAAGACCCUUUCGAGCUUGAUAAAGUAGUUUAAUUCUAAGUUACUAAAGUUUGGUUGGGGCAACUCAGGAGCAAGAGAAGACUCCUCGAAGAAGGUGAAGACCCAAACAUUUUGAGAAAAAGAAAAAGCUACCGUAGGGAUAACAGCGUUAUCUUCUCUGAGAGAACAAAUUGAAGGGAGG